Molecule: non-coding RNA, 600 nt
Organism: Cyanistes caeruleus (blue tit)
Lineage: Eukaryota; Metazoa; Chordata; Aves; Passeriformes; Paridae
Source: RefSeq, a predicted model, not a curated record
GUUCCGCCACUGCACUGGGCUGUCCCGCCCCCACAGCUCCGCUCCGCUCCCACACCACACGGGGCCCUGCACCCACUCACUAACCACUGCUACUUGCCUGCUCAGCUGCAGUCACUGUUGGCCAGUCUGACUCACCGCUUUUAUGUGCUCUGUUACCUCGGGCAGUAUAAGAAAUUCCUAUUCCUGAGACGGACUUCCCUUGACGCUCGAGAAAGCUGCUGGCCUCCCCCUUCUGAGCUGUGCCUGCGCUGUAGCACCCAAGGUAGUUGACGUCCUCGAGGCUUGUGAAACCCAAAACACACACAGAGGACAGCAAUGACCCCACAUACCACUGGCAGAUGAAGCAGCUCACUUUCAUUCCCUGAGGACAGAGAUUUGUCUCCGCUUCAUUUAUGUCUGCACCGAGCGGGUAUAGGACCCAGAUGGAUUUCUGCAAAGAAUGUGAAUCCAUACCACGUGCAAAAACACACUGAUGACCCCACAAGCAAAGAAGAAAGCACACAGAUAUGAACUACACAGAGACUAUAAUUCAUAUCUGAAAUCUCUUGUCCUCAUCGCAAAAGCUUUAGUUCCUGGUCCUGCUCCUCCUCUGGGUAUUCG